AUUGAACGCUGGCGGCAUGCUCUACACAUGCAAGUCGAACGGUAACAGGUUAAGCUGACGAGUGGCGAACGGGUGAGUAAUGCAUCGGAACGUGCCCGAUCGUGGGGGAUAACGCAGCGAAAGCUGCGCUAAUACCGCAUACGAUCUGAGGAUGAAAGCGGGGGACCGUAAGGCCUCGCGCGAUCGGAGCGGCCGAUGUCAGAUUAGGUGGUUGGUGGGGUAAAGGCUCAACAAGCCAACGAUCUGUAGCUGGUCUGAGAGGACGACCAGCCACACUGGGACUGAGACACGGCCCAGACUCCUACGGGAGGCAGCAGUGGGGAAUUUUGGACAAUGGGCGAAAGCCUGAUCCAGCAAUGCCGCGUGCAGGAAGAAGGCCUUCGGGUUGUAAACUGCUUUUGUACGGAGCGAAAAGGCUCUCUCUAAUACAGGGGGCUCAUGACGGUACCGUAAGAAUAAGCACCGGCUAACUACGUGCCAGCCGCCGCGGUAA
Molecule: ribosomal RNA, 493 nt
Filed under: uncultured bacterium
Lineage: Bacteria
Description: partial 16S ribosomal RNA
Rfam family: Bacterial small subunit ribosomal RNA
Source: RNAcentral